GCAGCGGCCCUCGCCUAUUGGCGGCGGCGGUGACGCGCGGCAGGCCGGGCUGAGGAAGCGGAGCGAAGAGAUUACUUGCGGUGGCAGCGGGGCUGGUGCGAAUCGUUUUCCCUCCACCCGAAACUCCACACCCCCUCUGCCUCGCACAAAGGCGGGAGUGGGGUGCCUCUUGUGCCGUGUUCCCGAAGCUUGUCUUUGCGUGGCGCUCGCUGUCCCGCUUACCUGGCUGGCAGCAGGGCGGGGGUAGGAGCGACGGGACGCGGUGCGGCUCUAGCGGGCUCACCCAGCUCUCGCGGUCCGCUGCUGCUGCCGUUAGCGAGACUGUUACGGGCAAGGUUCCUGCGGUGGCGAGCUUAAGUACCCCUGAGAAAAGAUGCUACAAAGCCAGUAGGGUGGUGGCAAGUGCUGGUGUGCCAUGGGCUGCCUUUGCGGGGAGCUUGGCUGUGCAUCGGACGCGUUAGCAGAGCGGUCCUGCCGGUAUCGCUGAGGCCUGGUCCUGUCGGGGCUUGCUGCGGGGUGCUCCCGCAGGGCAGAUACCAUAAGGGAGAAAUCAAAAACCUUUAUCGGGUGUACUUUAUUCGUGCAUUCGUUCGUUGUGAUUUUCUUGGGAGAAAGUGUGAUUGGGUGCUGAAUUAUAACACCAGAUGCUCGAUAAAAGCUUCUCUAAGAAACAAUAAAAAUAUGCUGAAAUUGGAUGAGCAAUCCUGGUUGUGAGC
This is a long non-coding RNA of Pogoniulus pusillus (Red-fronted tinkerbird), 716 nucleotides long. RefSeq lists it as uncharacterized. The record is from RefSeq and is a predicted model, not a curated record. The transcript has 2 exons. NCBI's taxonomy places the organism in Eukaryota, Metazoa, Chordata, Aves, Piciformes, Lybiidae.